Molecule: long non-coding RNA, 175 nt
Organism: Antechinus flavipes (yellow-footed antechinus)
Lineage: Eukaryota; Metazoa; Chordata; Mammalia; Dasyuromorphia; Dasyuridae
Exons: 3
Source: RefSeq, a predicted model, not a curated record
AAAUCACUUAGCCUUUGCCUCAGUUUCCCUGUCUACAAAACGGGGCCGUGGCGAGGCUCCAAGUCCUAAUUCUGGCUGGGGCUGUCAGGAAUCCAGACGGAGGGCUUUGUCAGGAUGACAGGGGCUGCCCGGCAGGGAAACCCAAACGCAAGGGCCACGGCAUCCGGACCGGCAA